This is a non-coding RNA of Nomia melanderi (Alkali bee), 4815 nucleotides long. The record is from RefSeq and is a predicted model, not a curated record. Lineage: Eukaryota; Metazoa; Arthropoda; Insecta; Hymenoptera; Halictidae.
UGUCGAUAAUUAUCAUGGGAAAACUGUCGGUUCGGUUUUCUCUGUAUCGGUGUACGACGAUUUUACUCGUUAUUCGCGAAUUGAAAAUAUCCUGUGUACUCGCGGACGCGGCUAGGUGUAUCCGGGAUGACACAAUCAUCGACACAAGCGAAACCUGUUUUUUCUACGACGAAAAUAACCGGCCGCCGAUCAAGUGCUUAUACUUUCGGCGUGUCCCCCCGCGAAAGUCCUAUUCUACAUUUAAAUUUGAACAUCACCUGCGCAGAAAUCGGUCAGGUCAGUCACGCGAGGAAUGUUGGCGAUUUGUGUCGGAUCCGAUGAAAUAUAGUUCAAGUGUUUCCACCACAAAGGAAGGAAUUCGAACGCGAAUGCGUCAGCGGAGAAUGUAAAAGUGGAACUUUGAAGAUACAUAUUAACUACUUUUUUCAAGUUCGUAUCUUAGGCGAACAGAAGUCACGAUCGGUACACUUUAAUCAGUUGGACAACAACGGAGGGAAAAAGUUAUCUUUUUGUUCGUAGGCUCGUAAACUUGAAUACAUCUAAAUUAGAAGAUAAAAAGGUGACCGAACACAUUUGUCCACGAAAGCCAAGGUAUCUCUUCAACGCACUGACUCCGAGCCAGACUCGAUCGUGACGAAAUCCACCUGAACCGUGAAAUCACCGACGCACCAGCCAUUAAGUGCCCAGGCCGAAAGAAAGGUGUAACAAAAAUCACGAGGGAAACACGUUGUCCAUUAAAUAACGGGGUUACCAGUAGAGGCAGAUCUCGCAUUGAGCACAACGUGGCACUCCGUGAGAUUCCGUAGCGGCUGAAGAAUGUCCCCCCACUGCUCGGGGAAUCGUUCGGAAACGGGAGGAGAAAAAAGAACCAUAAUCCCGAUGAGCAAGUGAACCUACGAACCUGGAUUUGGGCGCGCUUGACCUCGGUGUAGAGCCAGUUGUCGGUGGAAAAGGCGAUCGCGAGGAGGCCGGUGGCAAUGAUACCGGUUAUGGUCGCGAGGGACAGCGUCACCGCGGAACAGGGCAUCUUGGUAUCCUCUUCUUCUUCUUCUUCUUCUUCUUAUUUUUCUUCUUCUUUCUCUUCUUCUUUUUCUUCGUCAACCUCUUCCUCUUCUUUCUUAUAUUCUACCGAUUUCCCUUUAUCGACCACACUCCACGCUCCGUUACGUUCACCUCACAAGGCACCACUUGCGACGAUACUGAGAAGAAGAGCUACGAUGCUGAGGAACAGAGGUCGUCGUCGUCCUCGAGGUUGUCGAGCAUCCGUGGACUAAAAGGAACAAGGAAGAAAGAGGGAGGGAGGAAGAGCGUAACAGAGAGAUGCCGAGAGAAAGAUAUGAGACUCGCACGAAACAGGUCACGAACCGUUCGCGAAUCGGUCCAGCCUUCGCGAGAUAAUCCUUCGGAAGAGGAUCGGACGCGAACUCGGUCAACGGAAUUUCUGGAUCACGAUCGUGCGUGGUACACCGGGCGAUCGUGGGUCGGUUGGUGGAAGAAGAGGACGAGGGAGUACUACUUCUCGAGGAUGAGGACGUCCUUCAGGGUGCACGAUACUCCGCGAUACGCAUUACUACCAUUCUCUCCUACGACAACGACACUAACGGCCCGACUCACCUCGGAGAAAAGCCGAGAGUCGACCAAGGAGAGAGAACCGGACCCGAAGUGGGGAUAUGCACGUAGCCCCGGGCAGGUAUAUUACCUGUGUUUUACCUUCAGCGGUGCUCAACGCAGGCCGAGGCCCGAGCCGCUACGCGGAGAAUGCAGCGCGCAGGCUACGCCGAUUGGCUGCCCCCACGGGAUAAUGGAAUCGCACAGUGGGUGGGUCCCUGGGAACCGAUUUUUCCUUCGGGAACGUCUCUCGGACGUGUGUCCUGCGUUCCCUGCCCUCCGAUGCACCGAACCCGGCCGGUUUCAGAGGCCAUGGACGGAGACUUCGACGCACGCAUGUGCGCGAAUUCCUUGAUGCGCACGAUCCAUUCCGUGCUGUUUAUUCUAAUCUUGCUUUUAGGAAUCAUGCCGUGGUACCGAUGCAUCGGUGGAGGAGCUCCUUUUCGAUACUUUUACUUGAAUUCGAACUUCGCUUCGGACGCGGUGUUUUGAUAAUGUAAUUCCGAGGGAGUUGGUGGGGGAAAGGAACAGUAAAGCAGUUAUCGUUGUAAGGUUAAAAUACAGGCUCAGUAUGCGACGCCACAGAUGCGGUCGACUUUUAAUAAAUAUUUCAUUGCUUGGACAGUUGAUGUUUACACUAGCAACGAUCGGAUGUAAAUAUUUAAUAUACAAAUGAAGGAUACCGUAGCACAAUGGAGAUACAAGAGUUGGGGGACGUGGGGGAAAUGAGAACAGCGUUUGCACGGCUGUCUACCUGCUACCAUAAAGCAUUCCUUCCUUGUUCCUUUACCAAACAGUCCCACCACCAGCGAGAUAAAGUCGAUGCAAUAGUCGAAGGCGGGGAAAAGCGAGGAAUUCCUUGCAUUCUGCGCGCUUCCCCGUCCGUUUUGCCUCGGCAGCCUUGGCUACCGCGGGUUCCACCUUUUUACCGCGUUUGAUUAAUUUUGAUCCACGGGUAAUCCUCUCUCUUUCUCUUUCUUUCUCCUCCUUCUCUGUCCCUCUCUCGCUCUGUCCCUCUCCGUUCGCCCCCUCCUACACGGAUACCUGUCGGUGAUAGAUCACCAGCAAGGAGCGAGGAGCACCUGCGUACCUGCGGGUUCGUGAAAUCGCGGACAUGCAGGUACCAGGAAUUUUUGCGCGGCUAAUGCCACUUCGACCUUAAUUGCCCACCUGAAUUUUACAAGUCUGCCUUGGUAAUUGUUACACCGAGCAAUCAGUGCAUACAAUACUUUAUAACGUAUAAACUGACUGAAAUGAAACGUUUUUAAUAAUGGUAUUCGAUGUUUACAUACACCUCGAAGAAUCUCGUGCAAUAAUUCUGUCGUUCAAAUAAUUAGUAAUGCUGUUACUGUGUUGGGACCAAAGAAAUUUGGAUGUAUUUUUGUAGCUCGCUGAAAUGUACGACUUAAUGGGUUAUUAAUUAUUACAUUGUAAUACGGUUCCGUUUGUUUUGAACUCGUUCUCCAAUAGGAUUGCGAAGAAAUGAGUGAUUGGAAUUUUUAAUUAAUAUGAAAGAGAAUUGUAUCUGCUACACUGAACCUUUUUAUAAGAAAUUUAAUCUGCUAACCGUAGAGUAUGAGUAAAUUCUUAACAACAGUCGAUUAAAUAUCAGAGGAAAUUAAUCAGUUACUAAAAUUUAAUAUUGAAGGGUCAUACGGUGUACCCUGAAAGGGAGAACCUUUGGCAUUCCAUGCCUUUCUAAAAAUUUUCUCCAUUCUCUGUAAAUAAAACAUUCACAGGUAUUAUAUUGUCAUUAAAUACAUAAUAGGUUUAUGAAACAGUGAUUUUACUCACAAUAUCUUCAGAAGUUGGUUUACCAAGAAGCUUUUGCUGAUGAUUCCACAUCAACUCUUGAACUUUCAUUUGCUCUUCUAAUCCCAUAUCAUCCAAAUUUCUUGAACAAUCUAUCUUCUUCAAUUCUAUUUUUGGUUCACCAACUAUCAGUGCAUCCCACCACCUCUCAGAAGCUUUUUCAAAAUGAAUCUACAAUGAAACAAAUCAUAUACGAUAGAUAGCAUCUAUGUAUAUUAGAAAUUUUUAAAGCAAUAUUUAUUAUAUCAUUCAACUUACACUGAUAUGCUGUCCAGGUACUACCGACCAUACAGAUUCAUUUUUUCUGGUCUUAUAACAAAGUUUUUCCAUAAAAAUUGUAGUCCAUUCUGAAUCAGAAUAUUCUUCCUGAUGUUGCGCUAGUGUUGAUGUUCUUGCUUCUAUUUUAAUAUCCAUUGAAUCUAAAUCAACUUUAAGGUCUUUUGCAGUCUUUAUACAAUCCGGUAUCUUAAUGAGAACAUCUAGAUCACUAAUGGUUUGUGACCAUGUAUAAUUGUCUCUUACUGCUCCAUUGUAACUAUCAGAAAUCCUAUUAUUUUCUACUAAUCGAAUUUCUUUAUCUGUAACUUGUCCCUCUGUACUUGUUUCUACUUCAAUUUCUUCAACAACUUGUGGACCAAUCUCUUCUGUAAUUAUUAUUGCUUCAUUUUCAGUUUCCUCAUUACUCGUAGCAUUAGAAUCUUUAUUUAUUGGUGGAUCCGUUCCACUUGAACAUUUGGCAAUAUUUUCCCAUUUUUGUAAACUACUUAAAACCAAUUUCUUUGUCAUCCCAGGUGGGAAACCUAAUUUCUGAUCUGGACCAGAUUCAACAUAAAAAUCUGUACUGUAAUCGAAUUGUAUGUUACUAUUUUUAUUAGUGACACAUUUUCUACCAUGAAGUGUAAACCAUACAUAAAAAUCACUUAAACUACAUGAUCACUUACCGUCUGCAAAGAAAUCCAAAAAAUGCAUCUAAGAAAUUGACAAUAUUUUUUUCUUCUGUUAAAAUUUGUAAAAAUGCAUUAUCGUGGUCAGAAUUCAUUGUAUACAAUCUCACUGGUCUACUUGUAUCAAGGGUUUCCCAGAUAAUGCAAUCGUUUAAUUUAACAAUUAACUGUUCUAUAAAAUGUAUUGAUAGACUAUUUUCAAGGUUUCUCUUUAAACGUUCUUAUAUUGCGUAUUUUAAUAAACAUUUACAAGAAAUGUAUUUAAAGAUAAACUGUUUGAGAAUCACUGAUUAAAAAGUUAAAUGCAGAUAACGCCUAUCUGUCGAACAAUUUUGAUUGUGUAAAAUAAAUAAACUAUGUUUUAGUUUUUAAUAUAAUUUUUAUUAUUAUAAGUUUCCCAGUUUUUCUCAAAAAUAUUGGAUUGAAUGACAGAUAUAACGAUCACAUUCAC